This 490-nucleotide ribosomal RNA is filed under the name uncultured bacterium. Its description in RNAcentral is "partial 16S ribosomal RNA". It matches the Rfam family "Bacterial small subunit ribosomal RNA", at positions 30 to 507 of the family's 1533-position model. The record is from RNAcentral.
AUUGAACGCUGGCGGCAGGCCUAACACAUGCAAGUCGAACGGUAACAGGAAGCAGCUUGCUGCUUCGCUGACGAGUGGCGGACGCGUGAGUAAUGUCUGGGAAACUGCCUGAUGGAGGGGGAUAACUACUGGAAACGGUAGCUAAUACCGCAUAACGUCGCAAGACCAAAGAGGGGGACCUUAGGGCCUCUUGCCAUCGGAUGUGCCCAGAUGGGAUUAGCUAGUAGGUGGGGUAACGGCUCACCUAGGCGACGAUCCCUAGCUGGUCUGAGAGGAUGACCAGCCACACUGGAACUGAGACACGGUCCAGACUCCUACGGGAGGCAGCAGUGGGGAAUAUUGCACAAUGGGCGCAAGCCUGAUGCAGCCAUGCCGCGUGUAUGAAGAAGGCCUUCGGGUUGUAAAGUACUUUCAGCGGGGAGGAAGGGAGUAAAGUUAAUACCUUUGCUCAUUGACGUUACCCGCAGAAGAAGCACCGGCUAACUCCGUG